Nerophis ophidion (straightnose pipefish) is the source of this 1452-nucleotide long non-coding RNA. RefSeq lists it as uncharacterized. Lineage: Eukaryota; Metazoa; Chordata; Actinopteri; Syngnathiformes; Syngnathidae. The transcript is spliced from 2 exons. The record is from RefSeq and is a predicted model, not a curated record.
GAUGCCAGCUUCAUGACAGCGUCCAUGUGGGCGGGGCCAUCACACCUGCUGUAGCAAAUAAGAAGGGUGGGAGGAUUCUUCCUGUUUCCGCACAGCGGAACUAUUUCUUCCUUCUUGGCAGCCUCCUCUUCAUGUUGCUUGAUCAUUAUUUCUAAGCAGGAAAUAAAAAGAUUUACACACAGUGGAAUGUAGCACAUAAUAAUAUAAUAAUUGGAUAAUAACAACCUGGUCCGAUGAUAAGUUUCUUUGUUUGCGUGUAGCGUUUCCUCAUGCGGAUCACCAGGAUGACAACAAAAAUGAUCGCCGCAGCAAACACAAAAAGAAAGGCCAGAGUCCAGUAGGGAAAGUUGUGAUGUUCCGUUGUAGAUUCUGAGGGCCAGCUCUCACUGGAUCGGUUCGCAGAGUGAGAAGAGACUGGAAUGAGAGUCAGCACCUCCAAAUCCGAGUCCAUGGUUCUCGCCCGGAAAAGGAUGGAGUGCCAUCUCAAGGUUGGGGAGAAGAUCUUGCCUUAAGUGGAGGAGUUCAAGUACCUCGGAGACUUUUUUACGAGUGAGAGAAGAGUGGAUCGUGAGAUCGACAGGCGGAUCGGUGCGGCGUCUUCAGUAAUGCGGACGUUGUACCGAUCCGUUGUGGUGAAGAAGGAGCUGAGCCGGAAGGCAAAGCUCUCAAUUUACCGGUCGAUCCACGUUCCCAUCCUCACCUAUGGUCAUGAGCUUUGGGUCAUGACCGAAAGGAUAAGAUCACGGGUACAAGCGGCCCAAAUGAGUUUGGGUCUCUCCCUUAGAGAUAGGGUGAGAAGCUCUGCCAUCCGGGAGGAACUCAAAGUAAAGCCGCUGCUCCUCCACAUGGAGAGGAGCCAGAUGAGGUGGUUCGGGCAUCUGGUCAGGAUGCCACCCGAACGCCUCCCUAGGGAGGUGUUUAGGGCACAUCAGACCAGUAGGAGGCCACGGGGAAGACCCAGGACACGUUGGGAAGACUAUGUCUCCCGGCUGGCCUGGGAACGCCUCGGGAUCCCCCGGGAAGAGCUAGACCAAGUGGCUGGGGAGAGGGAAGUCUGGGCUUCCCUGCUUAGGCUGCUGCCCCCUACGGAGGAAGAUGGAUGGAUGGAUGUUGUCCAAUCAAAUCUAAAAUGUAUGCAUCACGGGGUGAUUUGUUUGGAUAAAAACAAAACAAGAAAUGAGGCGAUACAUGAUUUUCAUUGGAGAACAACAAUAUAAAACCACUUUACGCUGAGCAAUGAAACACAUGUACCGCCACAUUUUUAUUUUUAUUUCUCCCCCAAAAACACCCAAAUGUGGCAAGACAGGCAUUUUGUCACCAACAAUAAACAGCUACUGUACUUUACGCUGUCUAAUAAAAUAUGAAAUUCAUCAGUGAAAAACAAAAACAGCAAUAAUUGCAGAGAUAUAAGAACAUGAUUUUCCACGAGGCCAACAUUAAAUAUUCACUUUA